GACAGAUGGACGCAAGAUAAGGGGGGAUUUCAAAGGGGUGGAGAAGUACAUCGACACAUUGUGGGUUAACCCCAUUAAUGGCCCUGAUUCACGCUCCCGUGCACGCCGCGGUGGGGCAGCAUCAGCUGAGUCGCCUGUGGGGUCAUUUGCAUGCUACCAACUCUCUCCGGAGGUCACAGGGAGCCCGCGAGUGUCCAAUUAAAUCCCUCGAUAGUACAGCAGAGACUGAUGAAGAGGAGAGAAAGAGAAAAGAUGAGAAGGACGGGUUUGAAGAAACCUCCUCGUGUUUCUCCCACAAUAUGUGCAUAAUGACUUCCGCUGACAAUUAUCUUUGAUCCAAGCAACAACCCCCAUCCUCCCUUCCAUUUCUGCAUCCUCUCCUCUCUUACCCCCACCUCACUUCAUCCACUCUUCACCACCCUCUCUCGAUCCACCAUCUUUUAAUUUUCCUUGAAGAUGCCGUGCCUCAGUCGUCUCUUUUGACAUUAUUUCUGAAACUGUCACUCUCUCUCUCUCUCUCUCUCUCUCUCUCUCUCUCUCUCUGUCUCUCUCUCUCUCUCUCUCUCUCACGCACACACACACACACACAAACACACACACACACACACGAGUGGAUUAAUGAGGCUCACUCAGGGUCAGUGACCUCACUGGGACAUAGAUGACAAGAAGGGGGUUGUGAAAGCAUGAGCAGCAGAUAAAAGGGGAGUCGGGGGGGGGGGGGGGGGGGUUCUCUCUUAAAAAAAACAACUUCUCCCUCUUUAUUUGUCAUCUUCCCCCUGUUCCUUGUCAGCAGAUAGAGAGCCACGUAUACAUGCGGGUGAGAGAGGGUAGUCGCAGAGACAGAAAAGAUGUUUAAGUGCUGAUGGCAGCCCCCGGUUGCUGCUGGGACCGAGGUGUCAGCUCUUAUUGUGCCACAGCAUGUAUCUGACAGGCAAAUGAUAGAGGAAGAGCCGUGGAGGAAGAGGGGGGGGGGGGGGGGGGCGGCAGCGGUCUCGUGUCUGUGAGGGUUUUGGAGACGCGACAAGAGCCUGAAGAAGGAAAAGUGCGUCUGUGUGACGGCUGGUGUUACACUGACUGUGUCUCUUCCUCUGCUCUGCAUUGUUGUCUUUUCGUCCCCCCUCCCUCGCCGUCACCGUGCGCUGAUAGAUUGAGUUAUACCGCUCCCUCAGUGACAUGCAUUCCCUCAGGUUUCCCCAGCGAUGAGGUCAGAGGUGACUGCUCGUUAUUGGCUGUUGUCUGUAAUCAUCCCAGAUCGAGCUGUGUGCUUUGUUGCCCCCCCCCCGACUUCCAUCGUCCUGCUCUGUGCAGCGGAGCGUGACCCCGAGGAGCCAAAGGGCCUCCACUGUCUUGACCUCGAGGUCAGAAGUGUUUACAGAGUCCUGUGUGUGCUUGGGCAUGUGUGUUAAAAAACAACUUUGUGUAGCACACACACACACACACACACACGCACACACACACGCACACACACACACUCACACAUUUUACUAUUUCCUAAUGCUCUUUAUCUCUUCUCUCCAUUCUGUCCCUAUUGUCACCUUGUGGUUAGCCGUUGUUACACAACUCCCUCCACAGCUGUUGAUCAUCCUGGCUCUGCAUUAGCGUCUCUGACCACGCCACUGAGUGCACGUGCACGUUUCGUGUGCGCUUUGUGGUUUUUGCCCACCAAACGUGCUGAGAACAAUAUGUUCUACAGCACUCUCUCUCCAUUGAUUCAGUGGUGAUUGACGGAGUAGGAUAUAACUCUGCAGGACGCUCGCAAUCAUUCUCAUCUGGAGUGCAUUUCAUCACAACACUUGGAGAAAAGGUGGAAAGGUCAAAGGAAAUAAAUGGGAGAAGUGAUAACGAAACAGAGGGGAUAAAGCCAACAGAUCUAGAAACAUGCAAAAUGUCGCGCAUAAUGGUGUCAAAACAUGAGAGAGGGGAAUUGACAGCUUCUGUUUGUCUGACCUGGACACACACAUAAACACACAUACAAAAAGCUGCAAAAGAGCCCCCCAAAUGGCAUUGCCUUUGCUUUGUAACACAAGCGAGCGACACGCUGCAGACCCACCUCAAACUGCAGCUCCUGGUGCGAUGCGGCUCGGUUUGAUGUUUGUGUGGGCAGUGGCGGUGAUAGAAUUGGGUCUCGGUGACAGUAGAUGGGACGUCAGCUUGCCAUGGGGGACGGUAAUUGAUACAGAGCCUGACUAACGUGAUGUGUCAGACAUAUGGGGCCUGUCUAAUCAAUGGGAUCAUGUGAUCAGAUUUGUGCCUAUGUGGCAGCGUGAGGAUGUAUGAUACAGUUCAGUUAGUUGCAUCACAGCAUAGACCAGAAAGAAGAGGGAUACAUAAAAGCACACACACACACACACACACACACACGCACACACACACACACGCACACACACACACACACACACAGGCACACACACUC
Molecule: long non-coding RNA, 2413 nt
Organism: Takifugu rubripes (torafugu)
Lineage: Eukaryota; Metazoa; Chordata; Actinopteri; Tetraodontiformes; Tetraodontidae
Source: Ensembl